Molecule: ribosomal RNA, 575 nt
Filed under: Escherichia coli
Lineage: Bacteria; Pseudomonadati; Pseudomonadota; Gammaproteobacteria; Enterobacterales; Enterobacteriaceae
Description: bacterial SSU rRNA
Rfam family: Bacterial small subunit ribosomal RNA
Source: RNAcentral
GGUUUAAUUCGAUGCAACGCGAAGAACCUUACCUGGUCUUGACAUCCACAGAACUUUCCAGAGAUGGAUUGGUGCCUUCGGGAACUGUGAGACAGGUGCUGCAUGGCUGUCGUCAGCUCGUGUUGUGAAAUGUUGGGUUAAGUCCCGCAACGAGCGCAACCCUUAUCCUUUGUUGCCAGCGGUCCGGCCGGGAACUCAAAGGAGACUGCCAGUGAUAAACUGGAGGAAGGUGGGGAUGACGUCAAGUCAUCAUGGCCCUUACGACCAGGGCUACACACGUGCUACAAUGGCGCAUACAAAGAGAAGCGACCUCGCGAGAGCAAGCGGACCUCAUAAAGUGCGUCGUAGUCCGGAUUGGAGUCUGCAACUCGACUCCAUGAAGUCGGAAUCGCUAGUAAUCGUGGAUCAGAAUGCCACGGUGAAUACGUUCCCGGGCCUUGUACACACCGCCCGUCACACCAUGGGAGUGGGUUGCAAAAGAAGUAGGUAGCUUAACCUUCGGGAGGGCGCUUACCACUUUGUGAUUCAUGACUGGGGUGAAGUCGUAACAAGGUAACCGUAGGGGAACCUGCGGU